RNAcentral lists this non-coding RNA (116 nucleotides) under human gut metagenome. RNAcentral's name for it is "FMN riboswitch (RFN element)". It matches the Rfam family "FMN riboswitch aptamer (RFN element)". From Rfam's summary of the family: The RFN element is a highly conserved domain that is found frequently in the 5'-untranslated regions of prokaryotic mRNAs that encode for flavin mononucleotide (FMN) biosynthesis and transport proteins. The record is from RNAcentral.
CUUCAGGGCGGGGUGCAAGUCCCCACCGGCGGUGAAAGCCCGCGAGCUGCGGCCCCAUCGGCCGCGGCUGAACCGGUGAAAUUCCGGUGCCGACGGUAUAGUCCGGACGGGAGAGG